AUUGAACGCUGGCGGUAGGCCUAACACAUGCAAGUCGAACGGUAACACAGUAAGAGUUUGCUCUUACGUGAGGCGAGUGGCGGAGGGGUGUGGUGUACGUCGAACUCUCCGAUGGCGUGGGGGAACUCGUGGGGAAAGUUACGCUAAUCCCGCAUCCUACCUACGGGAGAAAGCAGGGGAUCUUCGGACCUUGCGCGCGGGAGUGAGCCGAUGUGGGAUUAGCUAGUUGGCGGGGUAAAGGCCCACCAAGGCGACGAUCCGUAGCUGGUCUGAGAGGAUGACCAGCCACACUGGAACUGAGACACGGUCCAGACUCCUACGGGAGGCAGCAGUGGGGAAUAUUGCACAAUGGGCGCAAGCCUGAUGCAGCCAUGCCGCGUGGAUGAAGAAGGCCUUCGGGUUGUAAAGUACUUUUGUCGGGGAAGAAAAGAGGAAAGUUAAUACCCUGGUUUAUUGACGUUACCCACAGAAUAAGCACCGGCUAACUUCGUG
RNAcentral lists this ribosomal RNA (492 nucleotides) under uncultured bacterium. RNAcentral describes it as "partial 16S ribosomal RNA". It matches the Rfam family "Bacterial small subunit ribosomal RNA", at positions 30 to 507 of the family's 1533-position model. The record is from RNAcentral.